UUUCCGUAGGAGAACCUGCGGAAGGAUCAUUACAGAGUUCAUGCCCUCACGGGUAGAUCUCCCACCCUUGAAUAUUUAUACCUUAGUUGCUUUGGCAGGCCGUGGAAACACCAUGGGCUCCGGCUUAUGCGUGCCUGCCAGAGGAAACAAACUCUGUUUUUAGUGAUGUCUGAGUACUAUAUAAUAGUUAAAACUUUCAACAACGGAUCUCUUGGUUCUG
This 220-nucleotide unclassified non-coding RNA is filed under the name plant metagenome. RNAcentral describes it as "partial contains small subunit ribosomal RNA, internal transcribed spacer 1, and 5.8S ribosomal RNA". The record is from RNAcentral.